This is a long non-coding RNA of Lycium ferocissimum, 1244 nucleotides long. RefSeq lists it as uncharacterized. Lineage: Eukaryota; Viridiplantae; Streptophyta; Magnoliopsida; Solanales; Solanaceae. The transcript is spliced from 2 exons. The record is from RefSeq and is a predicted model, not a curated record.
AUAGGUCCGGAUGGUGAUUUAUGACUUAGUUGGAUAGCUUGGACGAAUUCCGAGGGUCUCUAGAGUGAUUCAAAUGCUUGAGUUGCACUUUAAUAGAAUUGAGAGUUAAGAGUUGACCACAUAGUUGACUAAACGAGUUCAGAUUCAUGAUUUGAAAGUUCCAACCAGUUUGUAUGAUGAUUUUGGACUUUUCCACAAAUUUUUGUUAGAUGUUAAUGAUUUUCGGACAGGUUUUAGCGUGUUGCAUUCAUAUUUGAUGUUCAGACGCCGUUUUGAGCAUAAAUGGUACCACAUUAAGCAAAUGAACUCUAAAUUAUGUUUUAUUGAACCAUUAGACCCGUAUUGUACUUACGGAACCAUAGCAACAGGAAUCGUUGAAUUUCGAGAUUGAAUGAGAGAGUUAUACCCAUUUUAAUGUCGGAAAAAGUUAUUGGCGUUGGUGCACCGGGGGUGCAUAAAAGGGACCGCAGAUGCGGAGCCCCAGAUUUGGGAAUAUGUCCGCAGGUGCGACGUGGGGGCCGCACGUGCGAAGGCCCUGAGUGGUUUAGAAAUUUUAACUUUGAAUCAUUUAUUCAAAAUCAAUUUUUUGGUUUUCUAGAGCUCGGUUUUGGGAAAGUUUUGUGGGAUUCUUCUCGUUUUAGCGUGGGGGUAAGUAUUUAACCUCAAAUUUUGUAUUUCAACAUGAUUAAACUCGUUCAUUAGUGAAUUAAUCCGUAUGUUGGUUGGGUAUUUGAGGAUCUCAGCCCUAAAACUUAAGAAGAUGAAAUUUAUGAAUUUUGAGGCCGAUUCGAAAUUGUCUUGGGGUGAAAUGUCAGAUCUGAAUUUUUAAAGGAAUGGGUAACCCGAAAUUUGCGGUUUUGAACGGUUGGCUAGGGAUUGACUUUUUGGUUGAUCUUUUUAGUUCGAAUUAUUUUAGAUAGCAAUAUGGGUAUCAUUGGACUCGUUUAACCUCGUAGAGUACUUAUUUGAAUAUAUUGGACUCGUUUGGUGAUUUUGGACGUGGUAGAUCUUUUCGGAAGACUUAAAGCUUUAUUUGGAUCGAGGUAAGUUAAGACAUUUUAGACUUCAUUUGAGGGAUGUUUUUAAUAACUAGUAAUGAUAAGGGCUAAGGGUAAAAGAGGGGUUCUGAAAAUAUGGCCUACCGCCCCGACUGGCACGACACGGUAAGCUAAUUUCGGGUUGUUUUUCAAUUUUUCAAUUUUUCAAUUUUUAAUGGUAUUUUGGUCUGGACACUUUGGGGUAUU